AUUGAACGCUAGCGGGAUGCCUUACACAUGCAAGUCGAACGGCAGCACGGACUUCGGUCUGGUGGCGAGUGGCGAACGGGUGAGUAAUGUAUCGGAACGUGCCUAGUAGCGGGGGAUAACUACGCGAAAGCGUAGCUAAUACCGCAUACGCCCUACGGGGGAAAGCAGGGGAUCGCAAGACCUUGCACUAUUAGAGCGGCCGAUAUCGGAUUAGCUAGUUGGUGGGGUAACGGCUCACCAAGGCGACGAUCCGUAGCUGGUUUGAGAGGACGACCAGCCACACUGGGACUGAGACACGGCCCAGACUCCUACGGGAGGCAGCAGUGGGGAAUUUUGGACAAUGGGGGAAACCCUGAUCCAGCCAUCCCGCGUGUGCGAUGAAGGCCUUCGGGUUGUAAAGCACUUUUGGCAGGAAAGAAACGUCAUGGGCUAAUACCCCGUGAAACUGACGGUACCUGCA
RNAcentral lists this ribosomal RNA (460 nucleotides) under Achromobacter sp. MMA-BI-1. Its description in RNAcentral is "bacterial SSU rRNA". It matches the Rfam family "Bacterial small subunit ribosomal RNA", at positions 30 to 483 of the family's 1533-position model. The record is from RNAcentral. RNAcentral also lists the same sequence under 1 other name. Lineage: Bacteria; Pseudomonadati; Pseudomonadota; Betaproteobacteria; Burkholderiales; Alcaligenaceae.